AUGCCCAUUCCAAUAACCUCAGAUAAGAGUCAUAAUGAGGAAAAAUGUAAGAGAAGCGGCAAGGGCCCGCAACACCCUUGGAAACGGCGCCCAGCCAAGGAGGCGGAGUGUCGGAAAUGUAAAAAAAAGGGACACUUUGCUGCAGUUUGCAGAUCAUCACAGAGAGUGGAAACAUUAGUGGAGAGCGACCCAGAAGAGGACAUAGCUUUUAUGGGGUCUGUUAACACUGAUGAGACUGAGGAGGAAUGGCUGAAAAAUCUCAGUUUUAAUGGAGAAAAUGUGACGUUCAAACUGGAUGCAGGAGCUUCAGUCACAGCGGUUCCAGCUUCUAUGUAUUCCGAAGUGCGGGAUGGCAGCUUGCCGGCACCUUCCAAAAAGAUUAAAGGUCCUGAUAACUGCCCUUUAAAAGUCCUGGGGGUCAUGAGAGCACACAUCAAAUCUGAAAAAACAGAAACAAGACAGGAUGUGUAUGUGGUGUCAAACCUAGUGAUGCCUUUAAUGGGACUCCCUGCCAUAAUAAAGCUGAACCUGAUAAAGCAGGUAGCCUCAGUCCAGCAGGAGAAGCAAGAUAAAUGCCAUCAGUACAAAGCUAUGUUCCCAAAAGUGUUUACAGACCUUGGGAAGCUGGAAGGGGCAUAUAAAAUAAAACUGAAAGGAGCGGUCCCAUAUGCUCUCUCAGCCCCGCGCAGAGUCCCUUUACCUAUGAAAGAACAAGUCAAACAAGAGCUAGACAGGAUGGAAGCAAUGGGGGUUAUAAGGAGAAUGGAGGAGCCUACCGCAUGGUGCGCCGGGAUGGUGGUGGUUCCCAAGCCAAACAAAAAACCCCGCGUUUGUGUGGACCUCACUCGACUGAAUGAAAAUGUGUGCAGGGAACAUCACAUCCUACCUGCAGUGGAUGAUACGCUGGCUCAGCUGGAAGGGGCAAAAGUGUUUUCUGAAUUAGAUGCAACAUCUGGGUUUUGGCAGGUGCCUCUGCACAAAGAUUCCCAGCCAUUAACAACUUUUAUGACCCCUUUUGGCCGAUACUGCUUCCAGCGAUUCCCUUUUGGCAUAUCGUCUGCACCAGAACAUUUUCAGUUGAGGAGCUCACAGAACUUCGCAGGAGAAAAAGGAGCGUUGUGCCACGCGGAUGAUAUUCUAGUGUUUGGCAAAGACAAAGUGGAACAUGACGAACGGCUACAGCAGGUGCUUAAAAGAAGGGAGAAGGCUGGCCUGAUUCUCAAUGAAAAAUGUGAGUUUUCGAUGGAGAGAGUGAAGUUGCUGGGACACAACAUAAAUGUAACAGGAAUCGAGGCAGAUCCGGAUAAAAUCAGCACCAGUGAAAGCAUGCCCGAACCACGAGUCAGCAGACGCGUCCUCAUAUCGGCUCAGAGCGGUUCUUUUACAGCGGCAGGCAGACGACAGGUGGAGACCUGUUAUAUAUAUAUCACGGAGCCUGACACCCACAGAGGUACAAUAUGCCCAGAUUGA
This 1470-nucleotide long non-coding RNA is filed under the name Nothobranchius furzeri (turquoise killifish). RNAcentral describes it as "lncRNA (ENSNFUG00015013740.1)". Lineage: Eukaryota; Metazoa; Chordata; Actinopteri; Cyprinodontiformes; Nothobranchiidae. The record is from RNAcentral.